UUUAUGGAGAGUUUGAUCCUGGCUCAGGAUGAACGCUGGCGGCGUGCCUAAUACAUGCAAGUCGAGCGAACGGACGAGAAGCUUGCUUCUCUGAUGUUAGCGGCGGACGGGUGAGUAACACGUGGAUAACCUACCUAUAAGACUGGGAUAACUUCGGGAAACCGGAGCUAAUACCGGAUAAUAUUUUGAACCGCAUGGUUCAAAAGUGAAAGACGGUCUUGCUGUCACUUAUAGAUGGAUCCGCGCUGCAUUAGCUAGUUGGUAAGGUAACGGCUUACCAAGGCAACGAUGCAUAGCCGACCUGAGAGGGUGAUCGGCCACACUGGAACUGAGACACGGUCCAGACUCCUACGGGAGGCAGCAGUAGGGAAUCUUCCGCAAUGGGCGAAAGCCUGACGGAGCAACGCCGCGUGAGUGAUGAAGGUCUUCGGAUCGUAAAACUCUGUUAUUAGGGAAGAACAUAUGUGUAAGUAACUGUGCACAUCUUGACGGUACCUAAUCAGAAAGCCACGGCUAACUACGUGCCAGCAGCCGCGGUAAUACGUAGGUGGCAAGCGUUAUCCGGAAUUAUUGGGCGUAAAGCG
This 584-nucleotide ribosomal RNA is filed under the name Staphylococcus aureus. Its description in RNAcentral is "bacterial SSU rRNA". It matches the Rfam family "Bacterial small subunit ribosomal RNA", at positions 1 to 567 of the family's 1533-position model. Lineage: Bacteria; Bacillati; Bacillota; Bacilli; Caryophanales; Staphylococcaceae. The record is from RNAcentral.